Molecule: ribosomal RNA, 496 nt
Filed under: uncultured bacterium
Lineage: Bacteria
Description: partial 16S ribosomal RNA
Rfam family: Bacterial small subunit ribosomal RNA
Source: RNAcentral
GAUGAACGCUGGCGGCGUGCCUAAUACAUGCAAGUCGAGCGAACGGACGAGAAGCUUGCUUCUCUGAUGUUAGCGGCGGACGGGUGAGUAACACGUGGAUAACCUACCUAUAAGACUGGGAUAACUUCGGGAAACCGGAGCUAAUACCGGAUGAUAUUUUGAACCGCAUGGUUCAAUAGUGAAAGACGGUUUUGCUGUCACUUAUAGAUGGAUCCGCGCUGCAUUAGCUAGUUGGUAAGGUAACGGCUUACCAAGGCAACGAUGCAUAGCCGACCUGAGAGGGUGAUCGGCCACACUGGACCUGGAACACGGUCCGGACUCCUACGGGAGGCAGCGGUGGGAAAUCUUCCGCAAUGGGCGAAAGCCUGACGGAGCAACGCCGCGUGGGUGAUGAGGGUCUCCGGAUCGUAAAACUCUGUUAUUAGGGAAAAACAUAUGUGUAAGUAACAGUGAACAUCUUAACGGAACCAAAUCAGAAGGCCACGGCUAACUACGU